RNAcentral lists this ribosomal RNA (2989 nucleotides) under Salmonella enterica subsp. enterica serovar Heidelberg. RNAcentral's name for it is "23S ribosomal RNA". It matches the Rfam family "Bacterial large subunit ribosomal RNA". The record is from RNAcentral. Lineage: Bacteria; Pseudomonadati; Pseudomonadota; Gammaproteobacteria; Enterobacterales; Enterobacteriaceae.
GGUUAAGCGACUAAGCGUACACGGUGGAUGCCCUGGCAGUCAGAGGCGAUGAAGGACGUGCUAAUCUGCGAUAAGCGCCGGUAAGGUGAUAUGAACCGUUAUAACCGGCGAUUUCCGAAUGGGGAAACCCAGUGUGACUCGUCACACUAUCAUUAACUGAAUCCAUAGGUUAAUGAGGCGAACCGGGGGAACUGAAACAUCUAAGUACCCCGAGGAAAAGAAAUCAACCGAGAUUCCCCCAGUAGCGGCGAGCGAACGGGGAGGAGCCCAGAGCCUGAAUCAGCAUGUGUGUUAGUGGAAGCGUCUGGAAAGGCGCGCGAUACAGGGUGACAGCCCCGUACACAAAAGCGCAUGUGCUGUGAGCUCGAUGAGUAGGGCGGGACACGUGGUAUCCUGUCUGAAUAUGGGGGGACCAUCCUCCAAGGCUAAAUACUCCUGACUGACCGAUAGUGAACCAGUACCGUGAGGGAAAGGCGAAAAGAACCCCGGCGAGGGGAGUGAAAAAGAACCUGAAACCGUGUACGUACAAGCAGUGGGAGCACCCUUUGGGGUGUGACUGCGUACCUUUUGUAUAAUGGGUCAGCGACUUAUAUUCUGUAGCAAGGUUAACCGUAUAGGGGAGCCGUAGGGAAACCGAGUCUUAACCGGGCGUUAAGUUGCAGGGUAUAGACCCGAAACCCGGUGAUCUAGCCAUGGGCAGGUUGAAGGUUGGGUAACACUAACUGGAGGACCGAACCGACUAAUGUUGAAAAAUUAGCGGAUGACCUGUGGCUGGGGGUGAAAGGCCAAUCAAACCGGGAGAUAGCUGGUUCUCCCCGAAAGCUAUUUAGGUAGCGCCUCGUGAAUUCAUCUCCGGGGGUAGAGCACUGUUUCGGCUAGGGCCAUCCCGGCUUACCAACCCGAUGCAAACUGCGAAUACCGGAGAAUGUUAUCACGGGAGACACACGGCGGGUGCUAACGUCCGUCGUGAAGAGGGAAACAACCCAGACCGCCAGCUAAGGUCCCAAAGUCAUGGUUAAGUGGGAAACGAUGUGGGAAGGCCCAGACAGCCAGGAUGUUGGCUUAGAAGCAGCCAUCAUUUAAAGAAAGCGUAAUAGCUCACUGGUCGAGUCGGCCUGCGCGGAAGAUGUAACGGGGCUAAACCAUGCACCGAAGCUGCGGCAGCGAACGUAUCACCCAAGACAACUUUACGGAGUUGACGAUUGACGGAGCGAAGCGACGUCAAAGCGUUCAUUAAAGUCGAGUUGGCUUAGGGAUACGUUCGUUGGGUAGGGGAGCGUUCUGUAAGCCUGUGAAGGUGUGUCGUGAGGCAUGCUGGAGGUAUCAGAAGUGCGAAUGCUGACAUAAGUAACGAUAAAGCGGGUGAAAAGCCCCGCUCGCCGAAGACCAAGGGUUCCUGUCCAACGUUAAUCGGGGCAGGGUGAGUCGACCCCUAAGGCGAGGCCGAAAGGCGUAGUCGAUGGGAAACGGGUUAAUAUUCCCGUACUUGGUGUUACUGCGAAGGGGGGACGGAGAAGGCUAUGUUGGCCGGGCGACGGUUGUCCCGGUUUAAGCGUGUAGGUGUGUGUUCCAGGUAAAUCCGGUUCACUUUAACACUGAGGCGUGACGACGAGGCACUACGGUGCUGAAGCAACAAAUGCCCUGCUUCCAGGAAAAGCCUCUAAGCAUCAGGUAACAUCAAAUCGUACCCCAAACCGACACAGGUGGUCAGGUAGAGAAUACCAAGGCGCUUGAGAGAACGGGUGAAGGAACUAGGCAAAAUGGUGCCGUAACUUCGGGAGAAGGCACGCUGACACGUAGGUGAAGUGAUUUACUCACGGAGCUGAAGUCAGUCGAAGAUACCAGCUGGCUGCAACUGUUUAUUAAAAACACAGCACUGCACUGGCAAACACGAAAGUGGACGUAUACGGUGUGACGCCUGCCCGGUGCCGGAAGGUUAAUUGAUGGGGUCAGCGCAAGCGAAGCUCCUGAUCGAAGCCCCGGUAAACGGCGGCCGUAACUAUAACGGUCCUAAGGUAGCGAAAUUCCUUGUCGGGUAAGUUCCGACCUGCACGAAUGGCGUAAUGAUGGCCAGGCUGUCUCCACCCGAGACUCAGUGAAAUUGAACUCGCUGUGAAGAUGCAGUGUACCCGCGGCAAGACGGAAAGACCCCGUGAACCUUUACUAUAGCUUGACACUGAACAUUGAGCCUUGAUGUGUAGGAUAGGUGGGAGGCUUUGAAGUGUGGACGCCAGUCUGCAUGGAGCCGACCUUGAAAUACCACCCUUUAAUGUUUGAUGUUCUAACGUGGACCCGUUACCCGGGUUGCGGACAGUGUCUGGUGGGUAGUUUGACUGGGGCGGUCUCCUCCUAAAGAGUAACGGAGGAGCACGAAGGUUGGCUAAUCCUGGUCGGACAUCAGGAGGUUAGUGCAAUGGCAUAAGCCAGCUUGACUGCGAGCGUGACGGCGCGAGCAGGUGCGAAAGCAGGUCAUAGUGAUCCGGUGGUUCUGAAUGGAAGGGCCAUCGCUCAACGGAUAAAAGGUACUCCGGGGAUAACAGGCUGAUACCGCCCAAGAGUUCAUAUCGACGGCGGUGUUUGGCACCUCGAUGUCGGCUCAUCACAUCCUGGGGCUGAAGUAGGUCCCAAGGGUAUGGCUGUUCGCCAUUUAAAGUGGUACGCGAGCUGGGUUUAGAACGUCGUGAGACAGUUCGGUCCCUAUCUGCCGUGGGCGCUGGAGAACUGAGGGGGCUGCUCCUAGUACGAGAGGACCGGAGUGGACGCAUCACUGGUGUUCGGGUUGUCAUGCCAAUGGCACUGCCCGGUAGCUAAAUGCGGAAGAGAUAAGUGCUGAAAGCAUCUAAGCACGAAACUUGCCCCGAGAUGAGUUCUCCCUGAGACUUAGAGUCUCCUGAAGGAACGUUGAAGACGACGACGUUGAUAGGCCGGGUGUGUAAGCGCAGCGAUGCGUUGAGCUAACCGGUACUAAUGAACCGUGAGGCUUAACCUU